RNA transcript from Triticum aestivum (bread wheat), 2927 nucleotides. It is a transcript of the gene named heparanase-like protein 1, with no coding region annotated. The record is from RefSeq and is a predicted model, not a curated record. NCBI's taxonomy places the organism in Eukaryota, Viridiplantae, Streptophyta, Magnoliopsida, Poales, Poaceae. The transcript is spliced from 8 exons.
AAGAAAAAGAGAAAGAGAUUGGCCAGCUCCCAGCCCCCUGUUCCCACACGCAAGCCUCAUCUCUCUCCUCUCUCGUGAGCCUCUCUCCCCCGCGACUCCUCGCCGCCGCCGCCACUCACGCCGGCCGAUUCCGACGAUUCUCGACGACGGGUGGCAGACUGAUGGCCUCCUCUCGCUCUGAUCCUUCCUCUCAUCCCUCUAGAUCCGGCCUCUCGCGCUCGCUGCCGACCCUCAGCCAUGGCUAGGGUUUCGGGCGCGGCGUCCCCUUCGUCGCCGGCGAGGCUCUAGCGGCCUACGGUGGCUGGUCCCGCCCACGUGUGGCUCUGUCUCAUGGACGUUCCUCCCGCGCCCGACGGCCACGGGUGGUCAUGGUGACGGCCUCUUUAGCGGCGUCACCGGACUAGCUCCACGCACGGGGAAGGCAUCUCUGCCGGUUCCCCAAGGUGAGUGCGAGGCCGAAGAGAGACGACAUCGAGGACGACAUCCUAGGACAUCAUCACGCUCAACGGCUUCGCCCCCAUCAUCAUCGAGUUCUUCGGUUACGCGGCAAACAGGUGUGCGACCAACCGGCAACCAGCGGCGCCAUCUCUAUCCCCCGACACUGGAUAAUGGCAUGGCUAAUGGCCUACGCGCGGUGCGCCCGUCAGUGCCCGUGCUCCCAGGCCGGUGCGGCCGUCACAGCUGCUUGCUCAAGGCAGCGUGCUGACUGCCUGGUUCAUGACCUUGAUUUUUAAUAGAGAUAUAGUAGAAUCGGAUAUAGUGCGAGAAGCCAAUGGUAUUGCAAUGAGAUCUCAUAAUGUUAGUCUAUCCCUUGAGGAAGGGAGAAGGUUAGUCUUCUACACAAAUUAACAAACUGUUUUCGCCCACUUGUAUUCUGACUUUUGAAUGGUGCAUUUACAGAAGAUAGAAUUGUUUUAUCACAAUAUCUUAUCAUUUAUGAUUGCCUUUCUAUUAUUGGUUUGGGUAUUCAACUGAAACAAGACUAACAGUUGAUACAUGUCAUGGAACAAACAAUUUUGAUACUAUCUAUCUUUGGCAAUUGUUAUUUUCUUUGUAGGCAUUAUCCAUUAGUAGAUCACUGGUAAAUGUUAGAACUGCCGCAUUGAAUAAUAGCAACAGUGCUGGUGAACGUAUAAAGGAUCAAAUAGUGCAAACACUGACUGAAGCUGGUGGUCAGGUUGAUUAUGUUGAGGUAAGAUUGAAGCCUUUUUUUAUUCAAGUGCCCUUACUGUUUUCUAUAAAGAAAUUUAUUUAUUCAUUGAGUUUGUUAAUAUAUCUUUAAUUUAUUUACUGUCCUGCUGUAAUAUUGAUGUUGGCUGUGUCCUAGAGAACCUUUGAAAUCUACAUUUGUAGCUAUAGUUUGGCAAGAGCAGUUUGAUUAGCAGCCUAGAACCACUGAUCGCUCAUGGUGUGUGAGAUGAAUUGAAUUUGUUGCUUACUCUGGGAGGCUCACCGUGGUGUUCGGGCUGCUUGCCAUGCCGGCCGGAGCGCCCAUACACGUGUUCAAGAACCUCCGGUGUGCGGCGACUGCCAUGCCGCAAUCAAGAUGGUCGCCAAGGCGUACAACAGAGAGAUGAUACGGCCAUGCCAUGAAGGUUGCAGAGCAUAAUUGAUGCACUUGUUGCCGGAGUUGGCGUCCUUAUUUUCUCAAGCAAGCGUAGGUCCAGUGGCAUGGGAGCAACAUUGUUGAAGGGCCAAGGCUUCAUAGUUUGUACGCACAUCAAAGAGAAACUUGGAAUGUUUUUGUGCUCGGAUCUCGUUCGGAAGUACUACAUCAUGCAAUUCCCAAGUAAGUUUCUAUACUAUAUAAGAAAGUUGGUCUGAAAUAUUUGAGGCAUUGGCCUCUUCAGUGGCGUCACCCGACGAGCUCCACGCGCAGAGGAGGCGUCUCCACAGGUUCCCCGAGGAACAACAAGAUACAUUUGAAUUCGUUGCCGAUGAGUUAUCAAUUCUUCGAAAGAGACUACGAUCCAUGGUGGUUGUUGAGAAAUCCUCACUUUGGAACCGAAAAUCGAACUCGGUGCCCAGGCUCAUCUGCUCCCGCUUAGAAAAAAAAUCAAAAGAAAUACUAGGAAAAUUCAAAAAAAUCCAAUUUUUUUGGGUGGUAGAUAAUUUGAUGCGUGAGGUCCGUUCUAAAUUUCAACUAAUUUGGACAUCUGACAAGCUCUCCGCAAAAAAUACAAAUCGGGUCAAAACAGUGCGUGAACAGUAAGCAUUUUUACAUACCCCAAUUUUGUGUUUUUUGCCAGGAGCUGCUCAGAUGUCUAAAUGAGUUGAAAUUUGGAGCGGACCUCACGCAUCAAAUUAUCUACCACCCAAAAAAAACUUGGAAUUUUUUGAAUUUUUCUAGCAUUUGUUUUGAUUUCUUUUCUGAGCGGGAGCAGAUGAGCCUGGGCACCGAGUUUGAUUUUCACUCCGCGUCCCUUUGGAACUUGAUAAAAGAUGUAAAACCUUCGGAUCUAAGUGUAGUCCAGAGAGAUGUCCCUCCUGAAACUGUCAAUGUGAUGAAAAGGACUGUUUCAGGCAUAUUGGGUCUGCUUCCGUCUGAUAAGUGAGAGGGCGACCCCUGGCUCGGUACUUAUUUAUUUUGGUUAUUACCACAGGCAUGUAAAGCACCCCAACCGUUAGACAUUUAAUUCCAUCACAAAUAGUAAGAUCCACACGGAUAAUAUCUCAACUCAGUUAUUCAGUGAAUUGCUUUAAGAUUAAAUUGUGCCUCACCAAUAUUUCUAUGAGUCUACUAUUUAUACGCUCAUACACAGAAUAAUCGCAAAAGAUUGUGGCAUAAUUUUGGUGCAAACAAGUACCUUGAUCAACUUGGAAUGGCAUCGAAGUACAACACAAAAGUGUUCUGCAUGCAGACUCUCAUCGGAGGCAACUACGGUUUGCUUGACACGAAGACAUUCUUACCAAUCCUGAUUACUCAG